RNAcentral lists this long non-coding RNA (885 nucleotides) under Marmota monax (woodchuck). The record is from RNAcentral. Lineage: Eukaryota; Metazoa; Chordata; Mammalia; Rodentia; Sciuridae.
UUUGCUCAGAACUAUUUCCCUUGAGUUUCAGCUCUAUGACUCUGCAUACUCUGCUCACAAGCUUUGUCAUGAGGUCUUUCUGAUGUUAUUGCUGAUGUUGUCACUUAUAGAUCACUAUCACGUCACAUUAAAUUCUAUAAACUGUUUCAAGAGAGUGGGGUCAAUGUCACCAUCAUUAGGGAGGGGAGGAAAGAAGACCUGCUAAAUAAAAUGAUUAGCGUUUCUGGAGAAUUUCUUUCUCUUUAUUAAAGAUAUGUAGAUCAAAACAAGAAUGAGGAGCUGGGGUUUUGGCUUAGCGUUACAGCGCUCGUCUAGCACGUGCGAGGCUCUGGGUUUGAUCCUCAGCACCACAUAAAAAUAAAUGAAUAAAUAAAAUGAAGGCAUUGUGUCCAACUACAACUAAAAAAAAUAUUAAAAAAAAAAAGAAUGACAGUGAUGAAGACCUUGAGGGAAAAAGGAAAGUCUUGUGGUCUUUCAAGGAUUCAGAUGAUGUUGCAGUGUGAAUAAACAAGUUUGGGGACUGAAAAAUUAUAGAGAAAUCUAUGUGUAUUAAAACACAGUAGAGAAAAGGAAAUCUGUGAGACAUUUGGGGAUUCUCAAAAAUAGAUACCCAAAGCCUCAGGUCCCAUUCAUACACAAGGAAGGAAUGAUUAAAUCAAAAAACUGGAGAAUGUUUCCUUGGUUUGUUUAAUCCUUCACAGACGCCUUGGAGAGAGGAGAGGAAUGUUUUAUUUGCUCAUUUCCUGCACAACAUCUCUCACACUAUCCUCUCCAUGACUCUGGAUUCCCCAGACUUCUCUGGGUUUCCAGGAGGGCAGAGAUGUCUAAAUAACUGCUUUGUACCCCUUACCUUGCUUAGUGGAUUAAACAUUUGGAAACAUUUCC